UACGUAGGUGGCAAGCGUUGUCCGGACUUACUGGGUGUAAAGGGCGUGUAGCCGGGCUGACAAGUCAGAUGUGAAAUCCGGGGGCUCAACCCCCGAACUGCAUUUGAAACUGUUGGUCUUGAGUAUCGGAGAGGCAGGCGGAAUUCCUAGUGUAGCGGUGAAAUGCGUAGAUAUUAGGAGGAACACCAGUGGCGAAGGCGGCCUGCUGGACGACAACUGACGGUGAGGCGCGAAAGCGUGGGGAGCAAACAGG
Molecule: ribosomal RNA, 253 nt
Filed under: uncultured bacterium
Lineage: Bacteria
Description: partial 16S ribosomal RNA
Rfam family: Bacterial small subunit ribosomal RNA
Source: RNAcentral